This 500-nucleotide ribosomal RNA is filed under the name uncultured bacterium. RNAcentral's name for it is "partial 16S ribosomal RNA". It matches the Rfam family "Bacterial small subunit ribosomal RNA", at positions 30 to 523 of the family's 1533-position model. The record is from RNAcentral.
AUUGAACGCUGGCGGAAUGCUUUACACAUGCAAGUCGAACGGCAGCACGGACUUCGGUCUGGUGGCGAGUGGCGAACGGGUGAGUAAUGUAUCGGAACGUGCCCAGUCGUGGGGGAUAACGUAGUGAAAAUUACGCUAAUACCGCAUACGAUCUAUGGAUGAAAGCGGGGGAUCGCAAGACCUCGCGCGAUUGGAGCGGCCGAUAUCAGAUUAGGGAGUUGGUGGGGUAAAGGCCCACCAAGCCAACGAUCUGUAGCUGGUCUGAGAGGACGGCCAGCCACACUGGAACUGAGACACGGUCCAGACUCCUACGGGAGGCAGCAGUGGGGAAUUUCGGACAAUGGGCGGAAGCCUGAUCCAGCCAUUCCGCGUGCAGGAUGAAGGCCCUCGGGUUGUAAACUGCUUUUGUACGGAACGAAAAGGUUUCUACUAAUACUAGGAGCUCAUGACGGUACUGUAAGAAUAAGCACCGGCUAACUACGUGCCAGCAGCCGCCGUAA